This 255-nucleotide ribosomal RNA is filed under the name uncultured soil bacterium. RNAcentral describes it as "partial 16S ribosomal RNA". It matches the Rfam family "Bacterial small subunit ribosomal RNA", at positions 26 to 278 of the family's 1533-position model. The record is from RNAcentral.
AGGACGAACGCUGGCGGCGUGCUUAACACAUGCAAGUCGAACGGUGAUGCUCCAGCUUGCUGGAGUGGAUCAGUGGCGAACGGGUGAGUAACACGUGAGCAACCUGCCCCAGACUCUGGAAUAAGCGCUGGAAACGGCGUCUAAUACUGGAUACGAAACUGGCCCGCAUGGGCAUGGUUUGGAAAGUUUUUUCGGUUUGGGAUGGGCUCGCGGCCUAUCAGCUUGUUGGUGAGGUAAUGGCUCACCAAGGCGACG